RNAcentral lists this ribosomal RNA (474 nucleotides) under uncultured organism. RNAcentral describes it as "partial 16S ribosomal RNA". It matches the Rfam family "Bacterial small subunit ribosomal RNA", at positions 335 to 800 of the family's 1533-position model. The record is from RNAcentral.
ACUCCUACGGGAGGCAGCAGUGGGGAAUUUUGGACAAUGGGCGAAAGCCUGAUCCAGCCAUGCCGCGUGCAGGAUGAAGGCCUUUGGGUUGUAAACUGCUUUUGUACGGAACGAAACGGCCUUUUCUAAUAAAGAGGGCUAAUGACGGUACCGUAAGAAUAAGCACCGGCUAACUACGUGCCAGCAGCCGCGGUAAUACGUAGGGUGCAAGCGUUAAUCGGAAUUACUGGGCGUAAAGCGUGCGCAGGCGGUUAUGUAAGACAGUUGUGAAAUCCCCGGGCUCAACCUGGGAACUGCAUCUGUGACUGCAUAGCUAGAGUACGGUAGAGGGGGAUGGGAUUCCGCGUGUAGCAGUGAAAUGCGUAGAUAUGCGGAGGAACACCGAUGGCGAAGGCAAUCCCCUGGACCUGUACUGACGCUCAUGCACGAAAGCGUGGGGAGCAAACAGGAUUAGAAACCCCUGUAGUCCCAUGA